RNAcentral lists this long non-coding RNA (507 nucleotides) under Mustela putorius furo (domestic ferret). RNAcentral describes it as "lncRNA (ENSMPUG00000029946.1)". Lineage: Eukaryota; Metazoa; Chordata; Mammalia; Carnivora; Mustelidae. The record is from RNAcentral.
CAGCCAUAAGCACAUCGUCCCCAGAGGCACCGAGGAGCCAGGGAGCCUGCAUCUGACGGAUGAUGUUGGGCCGGGGCAGCUUCCUCCUGGUCCUGCCCGCCUCCCCUGCCCACUGGUCACAUGGGGGACCGGGGGCAGGGCCAAGGCCCCCGCCACAGGGUUAGCAGAGGGGGCAGGGAGCCCGAGCGCUCCCUCCAGGCUGUGUCCGAGGAAGGAUCCCAGGCCGGCCUCUGGGCGGCAGAGACGGCGGUGUCCUCCCCGGGUCCCAGCAAUGGAACAAAAAGCUACACUGUUAGCAGCCGGAGUACAAGGCUGAGGGUCUGCCACUGGGGCUGUGGGGACUUCUCUCCGUGCAGGUAUGGGGACCAUGUCCUUGGUCUCCCCAUGGGCAGGACUGUGGCACACACCAGAUGGGAGUCACAGACAGCAUCCUGGCAAUCUCUGCAUGCUUGCCAGUCAUUGUCUGUAGCCACUUUCUAGGCUGUGUGGGAAACACAGCUCCUUCUG